CACCACACACACACACACACACACACACACACACACACACAUUUUAAUUUGACAGAGUCGUAUUUUGUCCAUUCAACAAUCCAAAGAUAUUCUGAAGAAUGUGGAAACAGCAAAUUAAAUUUCUGUUGUUCGACUGAUUCAUUGAUGAUCAGUUGUUGUAGCUGUAGAUUCAUUAGGAGAUUUCUUGCUGUUAGCGACGUCCACGCAAGUCGGUUAUCUUUGAUCACAUGCAGAUAAUGAAUCCUGAUUUAAUGUGUAUGUUGUUCUUCACACUCACAUCCUGCACUUUACCUUUAGAAAACUUACAUAAAAGUCUGUAAAAAACAAUUCAGUUCAAAUGUUCGACUGUGUCGGCAAAGGCUCCAAAUUAAGAAAAUAUCACAAGUUUCCUUUGAUGGUUUCAGAAACUCGUUUGUGUCCUGUUGUGUUUUGUAUAAGAUCAGUGGAGAGGCAUGUGAGUGUUGUGACAGGUGGUUUCUUGCCCAGCAUGAACAAAACGCUGAAACUCUGAUGCGAACACACACACAAACACACACACACACACACACACACACACACACACACACACACACACACACACACACACAGCUGCAGGCCAGUGAAAAGAAAUGAUUCUACCAUUUGAUGAGAAAUGUAAUUGUUUAAAUACUGAGUCAUGCUCUGUGAACCAGAGUAGAGCAGUGAUAACUAGAAUGUAUGUGUGUAAGGCUCUACAGGUUCUGCAGGACCAAGGCUCUUUACCAUCCAUUUGAUAGACGCCAACACAGACAACCUGCCCAAGGCUCACACAUGUUUCAACAGGAUAGACAUCCCUCCCUACGAGUCUUACGAGAAACUUUAUGAGAAACUGCUGACGGCUGUGGAGGAGACCUGCGGCUUCGCUGUGGAGUGAUGAAUCCGCAACCAAAAAAAACCAACAUACACACAGUCACACUUGUGCUUGCACACCAACUAUUUGACAUUUUACACAUACACACGCCUCGACAGAAUAUCAAGUAUACACAGAGUAUACAGAGCAGCCAAGCAUCACGAGAACACACACACACACACACACACACGGCCUCUUGCCACCUCUUCACCACCGAACUGUUGGGGGUUAAAGGAGGAAGCACAGCAGGAGGGGAAAGAAAGAAAGAAGAAAAAACAAACAAACAAACAAAACAAAAAAAGAAAAGUAUUUUAAAAAUUUUUCAGAUGUUUUGAAGAAGCAUUUUUAUCCUUCAGUUUUAACAAGCUAUGAUGUCAUUCUUCAGAAUGUCUAACCGCCACAAGACUCAAGACGGUCGUGCUCGAGUGUCCGGACACAAUCAGCCAAUCGCAUAUGAGCCUGCGAACAGAGACGUUGAAGUCAGAUGUGUGAAGAACAAGGCGGGGACUGAUUGUCUUUCUGUCUCACAAGCUGAUUGACUGACUAGUAUUCAUGCUUCAUGUUUAACCACUGUCGUGUAUCAGAAUGUGUGUGUGUGUGUGCGCGCAUGUCAGAGAGUGAGAGCGGGACAUUUUGUGUGUGUGUGUGUGAGAGAGAGAGAGAGUGUGUGUGUGUGUGUCAGGCAUGGCACCCAGUUACGCUGUAAAAAAUGAUCAAAUGAGCCUGCUCCUCUGUUUGGUAACUCUUUGUCUCUUCCGUUUGUAUCUGCGACCACUCUGAUCCACUCUGAUAUUUUAUUAUUUAUUACUAAGUGAUUACCGACCAAGCUGCUAUAUGCUCUACAAAGAGCCGACACUAAUCUCUUCAUCGCCCCCUCUACCAGAGUUGAAGGGUCAGUUCACUUGCAAUUUCAAGUAAUCCACAAAGUGGGUUUUAUUGAAUUUCGUUACAUUUUUUUAACAUUCAUAUUAUUGCAGUGAAAUACUCUUGUCAGUGUAUGGAAACUGUUGGUGUGUUGGUGUUUUGAAUGCCAUGUUACAUUUAUUGAAGUGAAAGGGAUCGACUUUCCCAGGCCUAAUUUUAAAAUCUAACUCUACUGACGUUACGGAGAGGACCGAGGACACGUCCUGGAUAUUUUUUUUUUUUUUUUUUCAAAAUGAGCCACGACGGAUGGAAAGAAGGAGUCAGCUUCAGGAAUUCUUCGGUUGUAUGUGACAUGUAUAAUAAAAUCUCAAAAGCCUUUCAUACAUGUUUCAUCAUCCAUCUCACCAACCUUUUUUUAUUUCUCUGUGGCCCUGAUGUUUCUCUGCCUGUCUCUUUUUGUCAAUAGCCUGAAAGUUAGAAAAAGUAGUCAUUCUCCUCAAGACCACCAUGAAUGAACAAAGUCUCUUUACAGUCAUUAAUUUUCCAUAGAAGUGAAUGAAAUCAAAAACCUAAAUGUUGAGCGAGUAAUGUGGAAAACGUCGGGAUCUGUUGUAGAUUGGAGACUGUUAAGCAGUAUCAUUUCAAUCUGCAUUUUCUAGGUUCUGAGUUCACUGUGUAAUGGAUGCAAGAGUAUUGUAACUUACUAUGUACUAAACAUUUAUGAAAAAAUACAAUGUAAAUAAGAUUAUAUUAAAAGAAAUUAAAUUGAAAAUA
Molecule: long non-coding RNA, 2506 nt
Organism: Seriola aureovittata
Lineage: Eukaryota; Metazoa; Chordata; Actinopteri; Carangiformes; Carangidae
Exons: 2
Source: RefSeq, a predicted model, not a curated record